RNAcentral lists this long non-coding RNA (382 nucleotides) under Zonotrichia albicollis (white-throated sparrow). RNAcentral describes it as "lncRNA (ENSZALG00000009871.1)". Lineage: Eukaryota; Metazoa; Chordata; Aves; Passeriformes; Passerellidae. The record is from RNAcentral.
AUUAAACAAAUGAAUUCAAAGCACUCAAAUAGCUGGGAUCUUCAAAGUGACAAGGACCUCAUCCCCGGGCCCAGGGCAGGCUGGCACUGCCAAGGGAACAUUUCCUGCAGUGGUGGAGCCGCUCACAGGGAGCGAGCAGGGGAGGGAAGCCAUGGACAGAGCACAGGAUGGCCAGGGAAGGGGCAGCAGCAGCUCCAGCCCUGCUGCACCCUCUGGGGACACAGGACAGACCAGUUCCAGGUUGGGAAGGCAUUUGUGGGCUCUCCUUCAUGGCCAGAUUACACAGGGCCUUCCCCUGGGUGUUUGUGCCUCAGCACCACUCCCUGUUAAUUUGGGGUUUGUGCUGAAUAAAUAGUGCCUGGCUAUUUGAUUUUAUUUUUUU